GACAGUACUGUGCCAUAUAAUGUUUUAAGCUUUCUGAGGUAAACAUUGCACUUUCAUCUUGCCAAGCAGGGAACUGAGGCUCCCAGCUGCAAUUGUCACCAGCUCUUGUGGCUUCCUGUUCUUUGGCACUUGCCAAGGCCCUCUUUUAGUAGUAGUUACUCUGAUUGAGAGUUGGUUGACGUACCUUAGUGGUUGUGCACAUGCUUAACAUCUUUGAAGCCCUAAGUUCGAUUUGCAGCACCGUAAAGAAAAAUAGAGAGGUCUGGCAAGGGACACAAGACAGUAUAUGCAGAGAGGUCCUUUGCUAACUCAGAGCAAGCCUGGGCUGCUUAGGCUAUCACACAGAAGCAUUCAGCACAAGAGGCUCAUCAAUAUCAGCCAUAAGAGGACAGAUGAAAAGGUAGGUAGGACCACACUGGGCUUUUAGUGCCCUGCCUUAGGAGUUUGGAGUUGGCCAGGAUAUAAUAGAGAACUAUUAUGGUUGUCCAAAGCAGGCAGCAGCAGGAGGCUCUGAUUUGUGGGUUCCCUCCAGCACUCAGCACAAAGGACAGGUAGAAGUAAUAUGCCUCACCGCGGCAUUUGUACAAGUGGCAAAGCUGGACUAAUUCUAGCUCCUCUGGCUCAGUCCCAGUCCCUGCCCAAACCCAGUGCCCAUCUCCCCAUCCCUAGGGCCAUCGGCUUCCCCUGUGGUAUCCUCUUCUUCGUCCUCACCAAGCAGGAAGUGGACAAGGACCGCUUGAAGCAGAUGAAGGCUCGUCAGAACAUGCGGGUGUCCAACACGGGCGAGUAUGAGAGCCAGAGGUUCAGGGCUUCGCCCCAACAAGCCCAGUUCCCUGAAGUUGGGUCUGGAGUACAGACCUGAGUAAGGAUCAUUGCAACCUUGUGCUAGACUUUAUUGACUGAUGUGUAGCCAACUGUGUUCAUUGCUCCUGAGGCCCACCAGAGGGCGCAUGAUGCCCAAACCGCUGCCAGCACCCACCUCUUCUUCCACAUGGUAGAAGGAGUCAAAUGCAAAUAAAGUUAUUAAGUCCUGGC
Molecule: long non-coding RNA, 1035 nt
Filed under: Rattus norvegicus (Norway rat)
Lineage: Eukaryota; Metazoa; Chordata; Mammalia; Rodentia; Muridae
Description: long non-coding RNA NONRATT029502
Source: RNAcentral